AACCUGCCCACUGAAAAUUUUAAAUGGCCGCAGUAUUUUGACUGUGCAAAGGUAGCAUAAUCAUUAGUCUUUUAAUUGAAGGCUGGAAUGAAUGGUUGGACGAAAUAUUAACUGUUUCAUAUUAAAUUAUAAUAAAAUUUUAUAUUUUAGUAAAAAAGCUAAGAUAUUAUUAAAAGACGAGAAGACCCUAUAAAUCUUUAUAUUUACUGAGUUUAUAAAAAUUAGAAAUUAAAUUUUAUUUAUUUAUAUAAAUAUUUUAUUGGGGUGAUAUUAAAAUUUAAUUAACUUUUAUUUAUUUAUACAUUAAUUUAUGAUUUUUUGAUCUUUUAAUAUUGAUUAAUAGAAUAAGUUACUUUAGGGAUAACAGC
Molecule: ribosomal RNA, 368 nt
Filed under: Melophagus ovinus
Lineage: Eukaryota; Metazoa; Arthropoda; Insecta; Diptera; Hippoboscidae
Description: partial 16S ribosomal RNA
Source: RNAcentral